CCUACGUGAGGCAGCAGUGAGGAAUAUUGGGCAAUGGGCGUAAGCCUGAACCAGCCAAGUCGCGUGAGGGAUGAAGGUUCUAUGGAUCGUAAACCUCUUUUAUAAGGGAAUAAAGUGCGGGACGUGUCCCGUUUUGUAUGUACCUUAUGAAUAAGGAUCGGCUAACGCCGUGCCAGCAGCCGCGGUAAUACGGAGGAUCCGAGCGGUAUCCGGAUUUAGUGGGUUUAAAGGUUGCGUAGGCGGCCUUUUAAGUCAGCGGGGAAAGUCUGUGGCUCAACCAUAGAAUUGCCGUUGAAACUGGGAGUCUUGAGUAUGUUUGAGGCAGGCGGAAUGCGUGGUGUAGCGGUGAAAUGCUUAGAUAUCACGCAGAACCCCGAUUGCGAAGGCAGCCUGCCAAGCCAUGACUGACGCUGAUGCACGAAAGCGUGGGGAUCAAACAGGAUUAGAUACCCCAGUAGUC
RNAcentral lists this ribosomal RNA (460 nucleotides) under uncultured bacterium. RNAcentral's name for it is "partial 16S ribosomal RNA". It matches the Rfam family "Bacterial small subunit ribosomal RNA", at positions 338 to 795 of the family's 1533-position model. The record is from RNAcentral.